This 460-nucleotide ribosomal RNA is filed under the name uncultured bacterium. Its description in RNAcentral is "partial 16S ribosomal RNA". It matches the Rfam family "Bacterial small subunit ribosomal RNA", at positions 338 to 795 of the family's 1533-position model. The record is from RNAcentral.
CCUACGGGCGGCAGCAGUGAGGAAUACUGGUCAAUGGCCGGAAGGCUGAACCAGCCAUGCCGCGUGAAGGUCAGUACCCUAUGGGCGUUAAACUUCUUUUGUGCGGGAGCAAUAAUGGUCACGUGUGGCCAGACGAGAGUACCGUACGAAUAAGCAUCGGCUAAAUCCGUGCCAGCAGCCGCGGUAAUACGGGGGAUGCAAGCGUUAUCCGGAUUUAUGGGGUUUAAGGGGUGCGUAGGCGGUGAGUUAAGUCAGCGGUUAAAUUCCCCCGCUAAACGGGGUGAAGUGCCAUUGAUCCUGCCGUGCUGGAAUGCGGAUGCCGUGGGAGGAAUGUGUGGUGUAGCGGUGAAAUGCAUAGAUAUCACACAGAACACCGAUUGCGAAGGCAUCUCACGAAUCCGCGAUUGACGCUGAUGCACGAAAGCGUGGGUAUCAAACAGGAUUAGAUACCCUUGUAGUC